GACGAACGCUGGCGGCGUGCUUAACACAUGCAAGUCGAACGGUGAAGCUCCAGCUUGCUGGAGUGGAUCAGUGGCGAACGGGUGAGUAACACGUGAGCAACCUGCCCCUGACUCUGGAAUAAGCGCUGGAAACGGCGUCUAAUACUGGAUACGAGAAGGGUCCGCAUGGGCACUUUCUGGAAAGUUUUUCGGUUGGGGAUGGGCUCGCGGCCUAUCAGCUUGUUGGUGAGGUAAUGGCUCACCAAGGCGACGACGGGUAGCCGGCCUGAGAGGGCGACCGGCCACACUGGGACUGAGACACGGCCCAGACUCCUACGGGAGGCAGCAGUGGGGAAUAUUGCACAUUGGGCGAAAGCCUGAUGCAGCGACGCCGCGUGAGGGAUGACGGCCUUCGGGUUGUAAACCUCUUUCAGCAGGGAAGAAGCGAAAGUGACGGUACCUGCAGAAGAAGCACCGGCUAACUACGUG
Molecule: ribosomal RNA, 468 nt
Filed under: uncultured bacterium
Lineage: Bacteria
Description: partial 16S ribosomal RNA
Rfam family: Bacterial small subunit ribosomal RNA
Source: RNAcentral